AAAGCAGUCCAGGUGGUCGCGUGGGGCUAUUGCCCCAUGAGGAAAGUCCGAACUCCACAGGGCAGGACGCUCCGUAACGCGGAGGAGGGGCGACCCUACGGAAAGUGUCACAGAAAAUACACGGCCGAUGGUCCGUCCGGCAACAGCCGGCCGGAUACAGGCAAAGGUGAAAUGGUGAGGUAAGAGCUCACCUUUCCGGCAGAGAUGUCGGGAGUACGAUAAACCCCGUCCGGAGCAAGACCAAAUAUGUUUCGCCUAUCCGGCGACAGCCGGGUAGCAGGGUUGCCCGUCCUGUAUCUUCCUUUCGGAGGAUGGCGAAAUGGGUAGGUUGCUUGACCCUGUCAGCAAUGACAGGGCUAGAUAAAUGACCACCUCUCCGGCUUUUGCCGGAAAGACAGAAUUCGGCUUAUCGGACUGCUUUGGAU
Molecule: RNase P RNA, 425 nt
Filed under: Caldithrix sp.
Lineage: Bacteria; Pseudomonadati; Calditrichota; Calditrichia; Calditrichales; Calditrichaceae
Description: RNase P RNA component class A
Rfam family: Bacterial RNase P class A
About the family: Ribonuclease P (RNase P) is a ubiquitous endoribonuclease, found in archaea, bacteria and eukarya as well as chloroplasts and mitochondria. Its best characterised activity is the generation of mature 5'-ends of tRNAs by cleaving the 5'-leader elements of precursor-tRNAs.
Source: RNAcentral